Lonchura striata (white-rumped munia) is the source of this 2666-nucleotide non-coding RNA. The record is from RefSeq and is a predicted model, not a curated record. NCBI's taxonomy places the organism in Eukaryota, Metazoa, Chordata, Aves, Passeriformes, Estrildidae.
ACUAUGUCUGAAGCAACAGCUAAUGCAUGGACUUAUGCUGUUCAUGUUCUGUUGAAAUUAUUAAAAAUUGAAAGGUGCCUAGUACCUAUUUUUAGGCCAUUGUUUUUUUAAUUGAAGUGAAUUGAAAAGCAAAAAGUUCCAGGUUUUCAUGGAAUUUUUGCAUUGUUUGUUUGUUUUGCUUUAUUUAUAUCAAUUACUGGAAAUGUUUAUUGAGAUAGUGAAUCAGUCUGGUUUUUUCUGUCUUAACUUAAAAUAUUUGUCCAAGUCUAUAUCAGAUCAUAAAGUACUGUAUCGAGAAAAUGUUGAUUUGGAUAACUUGAGUAUGACAGGCUUAAACAGAGCAUAUACCUCUUGUGUUCUGCAGUUGUCAUUUGAGUGUAAGAACUUAUCAAAAGAAAGCACAUCAUCCAAAAGGCAACUGAUUACUGGCAGCAAUAAAACUGGCAUGGUUGAUAACCAUGGGAAUGUAGGGUCUCCUACAGAGGAAGCUCUUUUAUAUUGCUUUUCCUUUACCAUUUUUAUAUAAGAAUUUUGCAGUUUAUUGGACAAGUGCAAAACACAGUGGAUUUGUGUGUGUGUGUAUUUUGAUUGCAGUAUCAUCUUCAUGAAUUUUGGUUUCUUUUGCUGAUUCUGUUUUGAUGUACAGUAAACAAUUCUGUACUGUUGCUAGUUCAUCCUUCUGUGGUAUUUGAUGCCUAAUGUAUGUAGCUUCUCUCUUAUCUUGGAGAUUGAAAUACUGACAAUUUUUUGGUUUUGCUAUUCCUCUUCCUGAGAGGCACUUCUCACUCCCCAGUCAGACUAAAGUAUGAACUGCCUUACUGACUCUUCAUUUUUCAGCUGCAGGCCAGAUUUUGCUAUGUUACACACAACAGACUCUCUUUCCCAGGGACUGCAGAAGGCUUUUGAAUUGAGUUUUGUGACAGGCUUUAACAAAAUUGUCUUUGUUAGAAGUCAAAGUGCAAGGCUAGCAUGUAAAGAUCUUGAUUCAGUGAACUGUGUUCCAAUUUAAACACCCAUUUAAUGAACUGGAUAGAUCGCAAGUAGACUUUGUAGUGUCUCUUCUAUGUAAGAUGCAGUAAGUGAAGGGCACAGUUUUCAUAAAUGCAGUUAUUAGCAGCUCUAUUUGAAACCCACAAGUAAUGCACAUGCCUAGGGCUUUUGGAAGUCACUCCAGAUGGAAACAGCAUUUCUGGGGUGAUUAUACCCUGAGGGAAGGCUCGCUGUCAUUUUGGGAUCAAUUUUUAGCCAAUGUUCCAUUCUCAGUAUUUACAUGGAGAGUCUGAAUUGCCAGAACUUCAGGUUUCAUAACAAAAAUGUUAACAAGAAGUGAAUAUUUGUUGAAAAGAUUGCAUUGCUGCAGAGAAAUGCCUGUUGCUAUGCUGGUUGGAUGAUGAAAGUAUCCUGCAGAGAGAGUCACUGUGCUAAGAAAACUGACUUCCAUUUUUCCGAGCAAGAAGGAGCCUCAUGCAUCUUUGUGUCUGCUGUGCACCCAUUAAUUUGAACAGUGGAAUGCUACAGUCCCAUUGCUAUGGAGUCAGUGCAGAUGGGAGAGUGCUGUUCACUUGCAUCUUCCCCAGAUGUGUGGUCAGAAAUGCCAGCCAUAGUGUACCUGCGCUGGAAACACAGAGAUCAUGUUAAAAGUCUCUUCUGGAUCUCCCUUAUUUAAGGAGGUCCCUCAGAAGAUGUUCAGGGCUAGAAGUUAAUCCUUGGUGUCAUGUUAAGAGAAGGCAGUGGGAUAUCAGUUCCCAAUGUUGACUUGGAGAAUAAUGUUUUGAUCAUUAAUCUCAUACAGCUUCAAGUUUAUAUUGUGCACUGAAAGAAUAAAUGUCAGGGCAGUCCAUUACUUGAAGUUCAGGUGCAGCAUGGCCACCUUUCUGUGACAGGGUGCCCACUGUGGCUUCCAUGCUCCAAAUAAAAGAUACUGCAUGGCAAAUGCAGAGAAAUGUGCAAAGCUGGAAAGCACAGGCUGGUUUAGUGGAGCCUAUCUAGGAAGUUUGUGGAUUACAUUAUAGCAUUCUUGUUGGCUAUCUAAAACAUGCAGAUACUCCAGCUGUGCUAACACAUUACCUGGCUUCUAAAGCAAAGCUAUAAGAUAGGUUUUUAUAUUCAUCAUGUUUACCUCACAGCAAAACAAACAAUAUCACUAGCUGUGUCACAGAAAGAGUAGUCUAUUUUCCAAGAUCGAUUUGUCUGUUCAAUAAAUUGAUUUUUUAUUAGUUCAGUGUUGCUGCAGGGUUUGGUUUUUUUUGUUUCCUUUUUAUGCUUCAAAUGAAUGUGCCAUGUUGAUUUUUUGGGCUUUUUAAAGUAUUUGAAGCAGAUAAGAACUUAUCUUACCUCAGUAGUUCAGUGGACCAUAACUACUUUAUUGGCAAAUACCACCCACAUUCUUCUAUGUAGGAAAAACCAGGAAUGAAGGGCCAAGGAAAGAUGAGAUCAAAUCACAGAGAGCACAACUGAUCAGAAGUUAUUUCCCUUCUCUUGUCUAGUCAAGCUGUACACAAGGAAUUGUUUGUCAAGCACUUGACAGUGUAUACAUGUGGCAUCAGUAGAAUAAUAUUGUAGAAAGAGUUAGACUACAUGGAUCAGCAUAUACUAUGUGGCUAAAACAUCAAUACAACCCUAUUUUCAGAAAGAGUUGGAAAAAUUUCCUGCCUUCACCUUCUGCC